This 213-nucleotide non-coding RNA is filed under the name Vulgatibacter incomptus. Lineage: Bacteria; Pseudomonadati; Myxococcota; Myxococcia; Myxococcales; Vulgatibacteraceae. The record is from RNAcentral.
CGCCGGACGAAAGCCGUGGGUGCUCCGCUCGUCGCGGAGAAAAGGGAAGCCGGUUCGAAGCCGGCGCGGUUCCGCCACUGUAAUCGGGUCAAGGCGCUUCCAAGGACGUGGCCACUCUCCCUCGCGUGGGAGGGGAAGGCCGGGAGCGCUGCAGGUCGCCUCGCGCGGCCUGCGCCCGAGAGCCAGGAAACCUGCCCAAGGCUGAAACGAAGA